This 393-nucleotide ribosomal RNA is filed under the name uncultured Staphylococcus sp. Its description in RNAcentral is "bacterial SSU rRNA". It matches the Rfam family "Bacterial small subunit ribosomal RNA", at positions 1014 to 1408 of the family's 1533-position model. The record is from RNAcentral. Lineage: Bacteria; Bacillati; Bacillota; Bacilli; Caryophanales; Staphylococcaceae.
CCCCUUCGGGGGACAGAGUGACAGGUGGUGCAUGGUUGUCGUCAGCUCGUGUCGUGAGAUGUUGGGUUAAGUCCCGCAACGAGCGCAACUCUUAAGCUUAGUUGCCAUCAUUAAGUUGGGCACUCUAAGUUGACUGCCGGUGACAAACCGGAGGAAGGUGGCGAUGACGUCAAAUCAUCAUGCCCCUUAUGAUAUGGGCUCCACACGUGCUACAAUGGACAAUACAAAGGGCAGCGAAACCGCGAGGUCAAGCAAAUCCCAUAAAGUUGUUCUCAGUUCGGAUUGUAGUCUGCAACUCGACUAUAUGAAGCUGGAAUCGCUAGUAAUCGUAGAUCAGCAUGCUACGGUGAAUACGUUCCCGGGUCUUGUACACACCGCCCGUCACACCACGAG